CUGCACACAACAUUACACUCUUGUAGCCGGUCUGCUGCCAUGUGUAACUCAGGGUUUACCCCUCACGGAUCAGUCACAGAGCCGGUCUCAGCCUAUGCCAGCAGGGGUACAAUGCAGUCCCAGAGUGAAGAGGUACACUGCCUGUCAUCUUGCCACGAUGUGAUACGGUAGGUUGGGGUUUGUAUCUUGUGUGUAUUGCUGCUCAGCCCUUUAGGUUGCGGUUGUGGUCCUGCUUGUGUGCGCUUGGGAGAUUUCUUCAGUGC
Non-coding RNA from Pelobates cultripes (western spadefoot toad), 263 nucleotides. Lineage: Eukaryota; Metazoa; Chordata; Amphibia; Anura; Pelobatidae. The record is from the annotation of a GenBank genome assembly.